Long non-coding RNA from Homo sapiens (human), 906 nucleotides. Ensembl annotates it as prostate cancer associated transcript 1. Its record names the gene PCAT1. NCBI's taxonomy places the organism in Eukaryota, Metazoa, Chordata, Mammalia, Primates, Hominidae. The record is from Ensembl.
AGAGGAACAAGCGAGGAUCUCAGAGCGCGACCUGGACAGGCUCUCACAAAAGUCACCGCGUUUGUGUAGGUAACUAAGGCCUACCGAAACCAGUCAGCCCUAAGUGCACACAGGAGAACCAUGGAGUUGGAGGAAAAGUCCAAGGUAGCCUGCUGGAUGGUGAGAGACACUUGCCUCAGUUUCUUGGUCAUCCUAGCCUACAAUCAGCUGUUUUCAGAAACAGAGUUGCCUAGCUGACCUGCAAUUGACCAUGGAUGCACGAGUGAGCCCAGCUGAGCUUAACGUCCCAUACAGAGAGAAGAAACAGACAACCUGAAUCACAUUCAAAAGAGAGUCUCCACAAUAGUGAGGGCUGCAAAACCAGGUGACAUGAAAACCAAGAGAAUGAAUUACAUAGAUUUGUUUAACCUAAGGAAGAAAAGAUUCUGGACACGUGAGGGCCGAUUUUCAUUCCUCAGAGCUCUCUCCUUUGGAGGCUUCUUUGUUUGGGCCCCACUUCCAUUCUUCACAUUCAGCAGUUACUGGGAGACGACCUUACCAUGGCCUGUCCCUCCGUGUUCAUCCCAAUCGCAUCCAGAUGCCUCUCUGGCCUCAUCUCCUAGUGUUCCUGUGUCCGGAAUUGGUGGGUUCUUGGUCUCGCUAACUUCAACAAUGAAGCCUCGGACCCUGGCGAAGAGGCAGAGGAUGUUGACACAAACUUACAGACUGGGACUCCAAGGAUCAGCCAGAUGAAAUGCUAUGUGCAGAGUCUUCAUUUCCCAGCUCAGUGGUGGACAGCAGAGGACUCUAAGAUCCAGCCACCUCUUGGGAUGCACACGUUUCUCUUCAACUGCGUGAUGUGAACUGCGUCACAUGACACAGUCAGCCCAAUGAAGGAGGAGGAGGAAAAGGAGGAGAAGAAGAAAA